Molecule: ribosomal RNA, 301 nt
Filed under: uncultured bacterium
Lineage: Bacteria
Description: partial 16S ribosomal RNA
Rfam family: Bacterial small subunit ribosomal RNA
Source: RNAcentral
CAGUCGCCGCGGUAAUACAGAGGAUGCAAGCGUUAUCCGGAAUGAUUGGGCGUAAAGCGUCUGUAGGUGGCUUUUCAAGUCCGCCGUCAAAUCCCAGGGCUCAACCCUGGACAGGCGGUGGAAACUACCAAGCUGGAGUACGGUAGGGGCAGAGGGAAUUUCCGGUGGGGCGGUGAAAUGCGUUGAGAUCGGAAAAAACACCAACGGCGAAAGCACUCUGCUGGGCCGACACUGACACUGAGAGACGAAAGCUAGGGGAGCAAAUGGGAUUAGAUACCCCCGUAGUCCCUGUCUCUUAUAA